AGCAGCCGCGGUAAUUCCAGCUCCAAUAGCGUAUAUUAAAGUUGUUGCAGUUAAAAAGCUCGUAGUUGAAUUUCGGGAUCAGUAGGUCGGUCAUGCCUCAGGUAUGUACUGGUCUCACUGGUUCCCCCUUCCUGAUGAACCGUAAUGCCAUUAAUUUGGUGUUGCGGGGAAACUGGACUGUUACUUUGAAAAAUUAGAGUGUUUAAAGCAGGCUAACGCUUGAAUACAUUAGCAUGGAAUAAUGAAAUAGGACGUUCGAUCCUAUUUUGUUGGUUUCUAGGAUUGACGUAAUGAUUAAUAGGGAUAGUUGGGGGCAUUAGUAUUCAAUUGUCAGAGGUGAAAUUCUUGGAUUUAUUGAAGACUAACUACUGCGAAAGCAUUUGCCAAGGAUGUUUUCAUUAAUCAAGAACGAAAGUUAGGGGAUCGAAGACGAUCAGAUACCGUCGUAGU
This 450-nucleotide ribosomal RNA is filed under the name uncultured Glomeromycotina. RNAcentral describes it as "SSU rRNA". It matches the Rfam family "Eukaryotic small subunit ribosomal RNA", at positions 569 to 1024 of the family's 1831-position model. Lineage: Eukaryota; Fungi; Glomeromycota. The record is from RNAcentral.